Long non-coding RNA from Sycon ciliatum, 948 nucleotides. RefSeq lists it as uncharacterized. The transcript has 3 exons. The record is from RefSeq and is a predicted model, not a curated record. NCBI's taxonomy places the organism in Eukaryota, Metazoa, Porifera, Calcarea, Leucosolenida, Sycettidae.
UCAUCUUCACCCAAGGUAAUUGCAAACCAGGCUGGGUAUGGUUCCAAGGCCAGUGCUAUUAUUUCUCGCAGGACAAGGUGGACUUCCCCACUGCGCAACGCAAGUGCAGGGUAUUUAAUGCCCGCCUUGGCCUCAUCAACACGCAAGCCAAGAACGAUUUUGUUGCGGAGUACAUGGCCGACAACUGGUCUAACUUUACUGGUGGUGGAUUUUGGAUUGGCCUGUACCGGGCAACAAGCAAGUCUGCUUUUAGAUGGGACUUCCUCGGCCUACCAGUCAACUAUACCAAAUUUUCAUGUGGCUAUUCGCCUGCUCACAACUGUAUGCGGAUCCGGAUAUCUACAACAGACACUUACUCAGGCCAUUGGUCCAGUUAUCCAUGCACCACGGCAUCACCCUACAUCUGCUCCAAGACCCCAAGCUCAAUCUCCGAGCCGCAUAGGUGGCAGCGCUGUGCUACAGUGGCCGCUGUGGAGUAUUCGGUGGUUUCAUCUAAAAAGCGCAAUUUUGAAGCACACGAGCAUUGCCAGAGAUCUUCACAGUUAGGGGAACUCGCCUGGCCCGAGAAUCAAGCUGAAAAUGAUUGCCUCGAAAGUCUUUACCCGUCAACUUCAAUCUGGCUGGGAAUCUCUCGUGAAGAAAACAAAUGGCUAUCUCCUCAUGGACCAGUAACUUGGUUUAACUUUGCACCAAAUGCACCUAGCCACAAUGCUAAUUGUGUAAAAAUGUUCAAUGCUGUUCAUUUAGGCAAGUGGGAUGACCUGGCUUGUAAUCAAGCAUUGCAUUUUGUUUGUCAAAGAGCUCGAUGUCAAGUUGUAGCACCUGUUUCUGGUAGCGUGAGCAAUACCGGCUUCAUCUCCUCUGGUGAAAGUGUGCGGUAUCAAUGCAAUACUGGAUUUGAACUGGUUGGCCAAGCCACUGCUAACUGCACUGCUCAAGCAUCGCUAA